AUUUAAAUACAUCUCAUGUUGAGGUUCAAC
Molecule: non-coding RNA, 30 nt
Organism: Clostridium autoethanogenum DSM 10061
Lineage: Bacteria; Bacillati; Bacillota; Clostridia; Eubacteriales; Clostridiaceae
Source: Rfam